This 118-nucleotide ribosomal RNA is filed under the name Rickettsia prowazekii. RNAcentral describes it as "partial 16S ribosomal RNA". The record is from RNAcentral. Lineage: Bacteria; Pseudomonadati; Pseudomonadota; Alphaproteobacteria; Rickettsiales; Rickettsiaceae.
GCAGCUGUUUUUAAAAGUAAAUAAUUAGAUAUAGAUAGUGACAGUAAAAAUGUACACAUCACAAAAGUGAUAAUUUACCUGUCAAUUUUGAAAAUAAAACUGACAGAAUCAAACUUGA